Molecule: ribosomal RNA, 301 nt
Filed under: uncultured bacterium
Lineage: Bacteria
Description: partial 16S ribosomal RNA
Rfam family: Bacterial small subunit ribosomal RNA
Source: RNAcentral
CAGUAGCCACGGUAAUACGAAGGGUGCAAGCGUUACUCGGAAUUACUGGGCGUAAAGCGUGUGUAGGUGGUUGUUUAAGUCUGUCGUGAAAGCCCUGGGCUCAACCUGGGAAUUGCGAUGGAUACUGGGCGACUAGAGUGCGGUAGAGGAUAGUGGAAUUUCCGGUGUAGCAGUGAAAUGCGUAGAGAUCGGAAGGAACAUCUGUGGCGAAGGCGACUAUCUGGGCCAACACUGACACUGAGACACGAAAGCGUGGGGAGCAAACAGGAUUAGAUACCCCCGUAGUCCCUGUCUCUUAUAC